AGCAGGAGGAGCUGAGCAGAUAGAUAUAUAGUUUUAUAGGAAAAGAUUCAGUAAAACCUGUAAUUUAUACAUUUAAAUUCCUGUUCGUUCUGAGCUAUGAAGUCAAGGAGGCCACAGAGAAAGCUU
Long non-coding RNA from Bufo bufo (common toad), 126 nucleotides. RefSeq lists it as uncharacterized. The record is from RefSeq and is a predicted model, not a curated record. The transcript is spliced from 3 exons. Lineage: Eukaryota; Metazoa; Chordata; Amphibia; Anura; Bufonidae.